Balaenoptera ricei (Rice's whale) is the source of this 5097-nucleotide RNA transcript. It is a transcript of the gene named transient receptor potential cation channel subfamily M member 4, with no coding region annotated. The record is from RefSeq and is a predicted model, not a curated record. Lineage: Eukaryota; Metazoa; Chordata; Mammalia; Artiodactyla; Balaenopteridae. The transcript is spliced from 27 exons.
CUGGGAAGUGGCGGAUCCGGUUUGUCCAGGGUGCAUCUAGAACCCGGUUGGUGGAGGGAAUGCAGGGAGACGGAUAGAUUGCGGUGGCUGCGGCAGCAUGGUGGGUGCGGAGAAGGAGCAGAGCUGGAUCCCCAAGAUCUUCAAGAAGAAGACGUGCACGACUUUCAUCGUUGACCCCACAGAUGCGGGGGGGACCUUGUGCCAGUGUGGGCAACCCCGGUGUGCCCACCCAUCGGUGGCUGUGGAGGAUGCAUUCGGGGCAGCCGUGGUGACCGUAUGGGACAGUGACCUGCACACCACGGAGAAGCCCACAGAUGCCUUCGGAGACCUGGACUUCCUGGGUGCCGGCCGCAAGGCCAGCAAUUUCCUCCGGCUCUCUGACCGCACGGAUCCAGCUACAGUUUAUAAUCUGGUCACGAACAUAUGGGGCUUCCAGGCCCCGAACCUGGUGGUGUCAGUGCUGGGGGGGUCGGGGGACCCCACCCUGCAGACUUGGCUGCAGGACCUGCUGCGACGCGGGCUGGUGCGGGCUGCGCAGAACACAGGGGCCUGGAUUGUCACCGGAGGGCUGCACAAGGGCAUUGGACGGCAUGUGGGUGUGGCUGUGCGGGACCACCAGACGGCCAGGACUGGGGGCAACAAGGUGGUGGCCAUGGGCGUGGCCCCCUGGGGUGUGGUUCGGAAUAGACACACCCUCAUCAACCCCAAGGGCUCGUUUCCUGCGAGGUACCGGUGGCACGGUGACCCUGAGGAUGGGGUCCAGUUCCCUCUCGACUACAACUAUUCGGCCUUCCUCCUGGUGGACGACGGCACCCACAGCCGCCUGGGCGGCGAGAACCGAUUCCGCUUGGGCUUCGAGUCCUACCUUGCCCAACAGAAGACGGGCGUGGGAGGGACUGGAAUUGACAUCCCUGUCCUCCUUCUCUUGAUUGAUGGUGAUGAAAAGAUGUUGAAGCGGAUAGAGAAUGCCACCCAGGCUCAGCUCCCCUGCCUCCUGGUGGCUGGGUCUGGGGGAGCUGCAGACUGCCUGGCAGAGAUCCACACUCUGGCUCCAGGGAGUGGAGGAGGCAGGCGAAGUGAAGCCCAAGAUCUGAUUAAACGUUUCUUCCCCAAAGGGGACCCUGAGAUCCUACAGGCCCAGGUGGAGAGGAUCAUGACUCGGAAGGAGCUGCUGACAGUCUAUUCAGCUAAUGAUGGCCCUGAGGAAUUUGAGACCAUCGUUUUGAAGGCCCUUGUCAAGGCCUGUGGGAGCUCUGAAGCCUCAGCUUACCUGGAUGAGUUGCGUUUGGCUGUGGCUUGGAACCGUGUGGACAUUGCCCAGAGUGAACUCUUCCGGGGGGAUAUCCGAUGGCGGUCUUUCCACCUGGAAGCCUCCCUCAUGGACGCCCUUCUGAAUGACCGGCCAGAGUUCGUGCGCUUGCUCAUCUCCCAUGGCCUUAGCCUGGACCGCUUCCUGACCCCUACGCGCCUGGCCCAGCUCUACAACGCAGCGCCCCCCAACUCACUUAUCCACAGCCUUUUGGACCAGGCGUCCCACGGCACAGGCAACAAAGGCCCAGUCUCUAAACCCUCUUCGGAGCCACAACCCCCUAAGGUGGGGCAGGUGCUGCGGAUGCUGCUGGGGAAGACGUGUGCACCGACGUUCCCCGCCGGGGGCACCCACCAGGGCGAUGGCAGCAAGGAGGAUUCGUAUCUGCUGUGGGACAAGGCUACCUCAGAACUUGCGCUGGAAGCCAUCCCCGGGCAGGCACCCUGGAUUGACCUGCUCCUCUGGGCACUGCUGCUCAACAGGGCUCAGAUGGCCGUGUACUUCUGGGAGAUGGGUUCCAAUUCUGUGGCCUCAGCUCUUGGGGCCUGUCUGUUGCUGCGAGUGCUGGGGCGCCUGGAGACUGAGGCUGAGGAGGCAGCACGGAGGAAGGACCUGGCAGCCAAGUUUGAGGGGCUGGGUGUUGACCUCUUUGGAGAAUGCUACCGCAGCAGCGAGGAACGGGCUGCUCACCUGCUCCUUUGGCGCUGCCCACUCUGGGGGGAUGCCACCUGCCUCCACCUUGCCAUGCAGGCUGAUGCCCGUUCCUUCUUUGCCCAGGAUGGGGUACAGUCUCUGCUGACACAGAAGUGGUGGGGGGAGAUGGACAGCACCACACCCAUCUGGGCCCUGGUUCUCACCUUCUUUUGCCCCCCACUCAUCUACACCAACCUCAUCACCUUCAGGAAGCCAGAUGAGGAACCCACGCAGAAGGACCUGGCAUUUGACAUGGACAGGGACGUCAGUGGGGAAGGGCCUGGCGAGGCCACAGACCCUCCUGAGAAGAUGCCCUUGGGGGUGUUGGGGCCGCCCAGCCGCAGGAGCUGCUGUGGGGGGUGCCCCCAGCGCCUGCGCCGCUGGCCCCAGUUCUGGGGAGCGCCGGUGACUUCCUUCAUGGGCAACGUGGUCAGCUACCUCCUCUUCCUGUUGCUCUUCGCCCACGUGCUGCUCAUUGACUUCCAGCCCGAGACGCCCAGCGCCCUGGAGCUGCUGCUCUACUUCUGGGCCUUCACCCUGCUCUGCGAGGAGUUCCGCCAGGGGCUGGGUGGCGGCUUGGGCAGCCUGGCCAUGGGGGCCCCCAGGACAGACACCCACCAGGCCCCACUGCGCCGCCGCCUGCACCUCUACCUCUCAGACGCCUGGAACCAGUGCGACCUGGUGGCCCUCACCUGCUUCCUCCUGGGCGUGGGCUGCCGGCUGACCGCAGGACUGUAUGACCUGGGCCGUACUGUCCUCUGCCUCGACUUCAUGAUCUUCACGGUGAGGCUGCUGCACAUCUUCACAGUCAACAAACAGCUGGGGCCCAAGAUCGUCAUGGUGAACAAGAUGAUGAAGGAUGUGUUCUUCUUCCUCUUCUUCCUUGGCGUGUGGCUGAUUGCCUACGGGGUGGCCACGGAGGGGCUCCUUAGGCCCCAGGACCGUAACCUUGCGAAUAUCCUGCGCCGGGUCUUCUACCGGCCCUACCUGCAGAUCUUUGGGCAGAUCCCCCAGGAGGACAUAGACGCGGGCCUCAUGAAGCCUGAAAACUGUUCAUCGGAGAAGGGCUUAUGGGCGCGCCCCUCAAGGACCCAGGCAGGCUCCUGCGUCUCGCUUUAUGCCAACUGGCUGGUGUUGGUCCUCCUCGUCAUCUUCCUGCUCGUGGCCAACAUCCUGCUGGUCAAUUUGCUCAUCGCGAUGUUCAGCUAUACCUUCGGCAAAGUACAGGGCAACAGCGACCUCUACUGGAAGGCGCAGCGCUACAGCCUCAUCCGGGAAUUUCACUCUCGGCCCGCACUGGCUCCGCCUCUCAUCGUCAUCUCGCACGUGCUCUCCCUCAUCCGUCGAUUGCGCAGGCGCCGGGCCAGCUUGCCACCUUCAGCAGUCAUCGAGCAUUUUCGGGUCCACCUCUCGAAGGAAGCAGAGCGGAGGCUGUUGACGUGGGAGUCAGUGCAAAAGGAGAAUUUCCUGCUGGAGCGAGCUCGGGACAAGCGGGAGAGCGACUCUGAAAGUCUGAAGCGCACAUCGCAGAAGGUGGACACAGCAUUGCAGCAGCUGAGACAGAUCCGCGAGUACGAGCAGCGUCUGAAAGGACUGGAACAGGAGGUCCAGUACUGUAGCCGUGUCCUGGGCUGGGUAGCUGAGGCCUUGAGCCGCUCUGCAUUACUUCCCCCAGGGGGGCCGCUGCCCCCAGCCUCACCUGGGCCUAAAGACUGAGCCCUGCUGGUGGACUUCAAAGAGUAGCUGCCAUAGGGAGUUUUGCUCCCAGAGUAAGGCCUAGCAGGUCCUUGACCCCUGCACCUGGCGACCUUGUCCUUGAGGUGAACCUCAUGCGCACGGACUACCACCUCGGCCGCUGUCACGAUCACUGCAGGGAGUGUCAUCCAUACAAGCCACAGCAGGCUUGGAUCCUCCGAGAACCAGCCCUACUCUGGAAGCAUGAGCCUCCGGAGCCCAGGCAUUGCCUCUCAAGGCUGUACCACAGCCUGCUGGGCUGGAGAAGGCUGCAGGGUCCUUGAGCCCCACUAUUCCUGUGUGACUCAGGCCCAGCACCUCUUGUCUGCACUAUUUUGAUGACUCUCACUUCAGUGGGAUAAGAACCCCAACCAUCUGUACCCGCCCCCCCAUUCCGGCCUACCAAUGAAAGAAGAACUCAGAGAUAAAAACAUUUGGGAUCUUAGCUCCCCGACCAGGGAUCGAACCCGCACCCCCUGCACUGGAAGGCGAAGUCUUAACUACUGGACCACCAGGGAAGUGCCCUUCACUUUCUUAAUGGUGUCUCUUGGAGGGAAGAAUUUUAUCAACAUUUUCUUUUAUGUUUGAUGCUUUUUUGUCCUAUCUGAGAAAUCUUUGACUAACCCAAGUCACAAAGAUUUUCUCUUCAAAGUUUUAUAGUUUUAGGCUUUGCGUUUAGGUCUGUAAUCUUUUUUUUUUUUUUUUUUGGCCUGGCCACGUAGCUUGUGGGAUCUUAGUUCCCUGGCCAGGGACUGAACCCAUGCCCUCGGGGUCCUAACAACUGGACACCAGGGAACUCCCUGCAACCUAUUUUGAGUUCAUUUUUAUACAUAGGGUAAUUUUGUAGUCAAGGUUGUUUAUUUUUGCAGAUGUGUAAUUUAAUUGCUCAGCAUCAUUGGUUGAAAAGACUCCUUUUUUCUCCAUUGAAUUAUCGUGGCACCUUUGCUGAAAAUCAAUUGACCAUAUAUGUGUGGGUCUAUUUCUGAGCUCUCUCUUCUGAUCAGUACAUCUAUAUGUCAAUCUUUUCACCAGUACCAUACUGUUUCGAUUACUGUAGCUUUGUACUGAAUCUUGAAAUCAGGUAGUGUGAGUCCUCUAACUUUGCCUUCCCUUUUCAAAAUUGUUUUAGUUGUCCUAAUUCCUUUGAUUUUUGAUAUAAACUUUGGAAUCUGGUUGUCAAUUUCUCUAAACAACCUGUUGGGAUUUUGUUUGGGAUUGUGUUGAAUCUACAGGUCAGUUCAAGGUGAUUGACAUCUUAAUGGUACUGUAGUUUCUGAUCCAUGAACACUGUAUGUCUCUUAAUUUGGUUAGGUCUUCUUUGAUUUCUAUCAUGAGUGUUUGUGGUUUUCAGCAUACAAAUC